RNAcentral lists this ribosomal RNA (808 nucleotides) under uncultured fungus. Its description in RNAcentral is "eukaryotic LSU rRNA". It matches the Rfam family "Eukaryotic large subunit ribosomal RNA", at positions 24 to 664 of the family's 3401-position model. Lineage: Eukaryota; Fungi. The record is from RNAcentral.
CCCGCUGUACUUAAGCAUAUCAGUCAGCGGAGGAAAAGAAAACAAAAGUGAUUCCAUUAGUAGCUGCGAGCGAACCUGGAAGAGCUCAAAACUGAGUCGGUCGUCGUUGGCCGUCCUUUUUAUAACAUAGUUUACCGGAUGGUCCUCGACAAUUUGUGGUCUGGCUAAGUCUGGUGGAAACCAGUGCCAUAGAGGGUGAUAGCCCCGUUUCUGGAUCACAUUGAGUCAACAUGUGGGCUUUCCGCAGAGUCACACUGUUUGAGAGUACAGUGUAAAGACGGCAGGUGAAUUCCUGUUAAAGCUAAAUACCACCCACACACCGAUAGCAAACAAGUAGCGCAAGCGAAAGUUGCAAAGAACUUUGAAAAGAGAGUUAAAAGACCUGAAACCACCCGCGGGGAAGGGCUGGGUCGAGUUGCGCGUAGCGGUGACUCAAGCCUCGUGCAGAUUGGUGCCUGGAUGUCCCUUACCUGCCCUCAUAGUGAUGGGGAGGGGCACCUGCGCUGGUCUGUCGGGGUGGCAUUUCAUUGCAGCGGCAAGCAUGGUUGCGGAUGCAGGAAGCUAGCAGGAGGGGCGAAGCCACUUGUCUCGGCAAGGGGUUCUCCGCUUGUGAAGCCUGCAUCUUCAAUGAUCAGCAAGUGCUGUCAACCUGGGCCUUUGGCAGUCUUUGCGGUGAGCGUCUGCUCUGGUGCUGGGGGUCGAUUCAUCGGUCCUCUGGUGCUCUGGGUUGGCGCGAGCUGUGAUCUCUUCCAGGUUUCAUUAAUGCUUGCAGAGUCAACGGAGCCCAGCCUCCCGUCUUGAAACACGG